AUGGUGAAGUCGAAGGGGGAAGACAAGGCCGAUGCGGCAGAGGUAGCAUCCCUCAAGCUGGACGUCGACCAGCUGGAUGAGAAAGUGGAAGCCAUCCACUCUGAAGUGGAGGGGAUUCACACUGAGGUCACCGGGAUCAAGAAUCAGCUGACAAGACUUGAAGAACUGCUGCUCAAGCUUGAUGCGAAAGGAAAGGAGAAGGAGAAGGAACAGGAGCACAGGGAGCUAGAGCGCCAACAGCAACCACUCCCUCCCCAACCUCCACCUCCACCUCUCCAUCAACAGCAACCAACUCCUCCCCAACCUUAA
This 309-nucleotide ribosomal RNA is filed under the name Triticum aestivum (bread wheat). RNAcentral describes it as "partial small subunit ribosomal RNA". The record is from RNAcentral. Lineage: Eukaryota; Viridiplantae; Streptophyta; Magnoliopsida; Poales; Poaceae.